Photinus pyralis (common eastern firefly) is the source of this 294-nucleotide long non-coding RNA. RefSeq lists it as uncharacterized. Lineage: Eukaryota; Metazoa; Arthropoda; Insecta; Coleoptera; Lampyridae. The record is from RefSeq and is a predicted model, not a curated record. The transcript has 2 exons.
AUUUAUCCCGGUAAGGACCUGUGUUGUUGUGUUUUGGCAAUAAUCGACACUACAGCUGGUACUCAUUCAAUGCGCUGCGUUUGAAUUCAAAGAUACGUUUCUCUAAAAUUGCGUAAAAAAUAUUAACAGUUCUUCAAUUUCGCACAUAAUCUCGCUUCUUGGUUUCGAGUUUUAAUACGAAACAAGCACAAUGAGUCCUAAGCAUCUAAGCAAAGGAUCUAAGCUUCCUCCUCCAGUUCGUGGGAAAAUUCGUCUGUACAGCAAUCGUUUUUGCGCUUACGCGCAAAGGGUCCA